UACGUAGGGGGCGAGCGUUGUCCGGAUUUAUUGGGCGUAAAGAGCGUGUAGGCGGUUUGGUAGGUCCGUUGUGAAAACUCGAGGCUCAACCUCGAGACGCCGGCGGAAACCAUCAGGCUAGAGUCCGGAAGAGGAGAGUGGAAUUCCUGGUGUAGCGGUGAAAUGCGCAGAUAUCAGGAGGAACACCAAUGGCGAAGGCAGCUCGCUGGGACGUGACUGACGCUGAGACGCGAAAGCGUGGGGAGCAAACAGG
This 253-nucleotide ribosomal RNA is filed under the name uncultured bacterium. RNAcentral describes it as "partial 16S ribosomal RNA". It matches the Rfam family "Bacterial small subunit ribosomal RNA", at positions 524 to 776 of the family's 1533-position model. The record is from RNAcentral.